This 1367-nucleotide long non-coding RNA is filed under the name Zonotrichia albicollis (white-throated sparrow). RNAcentral describes it as "lncRNA (ENSZALG00000000581.1)". The record is from RNAcentral. Lineage: Eukaryota; Metazoa; Chordata; Aves; Passeriformes; Passerellidae.
UCUUCCCAUAGCCAAGAAAUCCAUGCAAAAUUCCAUAGCUGAGAAAUCCAUGGAAAACUCAUUGUGGGAUAGAUUCACCUUGGAGAAAUCCAUGGAAAACUCUUCCCAAAGUUGAGAAAUCCAUGGAAAACUCACUGUGGGAUGGAUUCACCUUGGAGAAAUCCAUGGAAAAUUCCAAAGUUGAGAAAUCCAUGGAAAACUCGUUGUGGGACGGAUUCACCUUGGAGAAAUCCAUGGAAAAUUCUUCCUAUAACCAAGAAAUCCGUGGAAAAUUCCAUAGUUGAGAAAUCCAUGGAAAACUCAUUGUGGGAUAGAUUCACCUUGGAGAAAUUCAUGGAAAAUUCUUCCCAUAGUUGAGAAAUCCAUGAAAAACUCUUCCCAAAGAUGAGAAACCCAUGGAAAAAUCGCUGUGGGAUGGAUUCACCUUGGAGAAAUCCAUGGAAAAUUCUUCCCAUAAUUGAGAAAUCCAUGGAAAACUCUUCCCAAAGUUGAGAAAUCCAUGGAAAACUCACUGUGAGAUGGAAUCAUCUUGGAGAAAUCCAUGGAAAAUUCCAUAGUUGAGAAAUCCAUGGAAAACUUACCUGGGGACGGAUUCACCUUGGAGAAAUCCAUGGAAAAUUCUUCCCAUAAUUGAGAAAUCCAUGGAAAACUCUUUCCCAGGCCAAGAAAUCCAUGGAAAACUCUUCCAAAAGUUGAGAAAUCCAUGGAAAACUCACUGUGGGAUGGAAUCAUCUUGGAGAAAUCCAUGGAAAAUUCCAUCGUUGAGAAAUCUAUGGAAAACUUACCUGGGGAUGGAUUCAUGGAGAAAUCCAUGGAAAACUUGCUGUGGGAUGGAUUCACCUUGGAGAAAUCCAUGGAAAAUUCUUCCCAUAAUUGAGAAAUCCAUGGAAAACUUACCUGGGGAUGGAUUCAUGGAGAAACCCAUGGAAAACUUGCCUGGGGACGGAUUCAUCUUGGAGAAAUCCAUGGAAAAUUCCAUCGUUGAGAAAUCCAUGGAAAACUUGCAGUGGGAUGGAUUCAUGGAGAAAUCCAUGGAAAACUCGCUGUGGGACGGAUUCACCUUGGAGAAAUCCAUGGAAAAUUCUUCCCAUAAUUGAGAAAUCCAUGGAAAACUCUUCCCAUAACCAAGAAAUCCAUGGAAAACUCUCCCAUGGCCAAGAAAUCCAUGGAAAAUUCUCCCAUGACCAAGAAAUCCAUGGAAAACUCUUCCCAAAGUUGAGAAAUCACGGAAAACUCCGGAGGGACCGAGGGAACGCCGGGAAUUGGGGGAGGGCAAAGUUGGAUUUUGGGCUCUUUUUCUCCUGCUCUGGUUCUGUUGGAAAUAAAUUCCUCCCACCCCAAAUUUGUCGUUCCCAGAUGGAAUUUCC